This 465-nucleotide ribosomal RNA is filed under the name uncultured bacterium. Its description in RNAcentral is "partial 16S ribosomal RNA". It matches the Rfam family "Bacterial small subunit ribosomal RNA", at positions 28 to 507 of the family's 1533-position model. The record is from RNAcentral.
GACGAACGCUGGCGGCGUGCUUAACACAUGCAAGUCGAACGGAAAGGCCCUGCUUGCAGGGUACUCGAGUGGCGAACGGGUGAGUAACACGUGGGUGAUCUGCCCUGCACUUCGGGAUAAGCUUGGGAAACUGGGUCUAAUACCGGAUAGGACCGCACUUUAGUGUGUGUGGUGGAAAGUUUUUUCGGUGUAGGAUGAGCUCGCGGCCUAUCAGCUUGUUGGUGGGGUAAUGGCCUACCAAGGCGGCGACGGGUAGCCGGCCUGAGAGGGUGUACGGCCACAUUGGGACUGAGAGACGGCCCAGACUCCUACGGGAGGCAGCAGUGGGGAAUAUUGCACAAUGGGCGCAAGCCUGAUGCAGCGACGCCGCGUGGGGGAUGAAGGCCUUCGGGUUGUAAACUCCUUUCGCUAGGGACGAAGCUUUUUGUGACGGUACCUAGAGAAGAAGCACCGGCUAACUACGUG